ACGAACGCUGGCGGCGUGCUUCACACAUGCCAGUCGCACGGAAAGGCCCUGCUUUUGUGGGGUGCUCGAGUGGCGAACGGGUGAGUAUCACGUGAGUAACCUGCCCUUGACUUUGGGAUAACUUCAGGAAGCUGGGGCUAAUACCGGAUAGGAGCUCCUGCUGCAUGGUGGGGGUUGGAAAGUUUCGGCGGUUGGGGAUGGACUCGCGGCUUAUCAGCUUGUUGGUGGGGUAGUGGCUUACCAAGGCUUUGACGGGUAGCCGGCCUGAGAGGGUGACCGGCCACAUUGGGACUGAGAUACGGCCCAGACUCCUACGGGAGGCAGCAGUGGGGAAUAUUGCACAAUGGGCGGAAGCCUGAUGCAGCAACGCCGCGUGCGGGAUGACGGCCUUCGGGUUGUAAACCGCUUUCGCCUGUGACGAAGCGUGAGUGACGGUAAUGGGUAAAGAAGCACCGGCUAACUACGUG
This 467-nucleotide ribosomal RNA is filed under the name uncultured bacterium. Its description in RNAcentral is "partial 16S ribosomal RNA". It matches the Rfam family "Bacterial small subunit ribosomal RNA", at positions 29 to 507 of the family's 1533-position model. The record is from RNAcentral.